GGGGUGGUAGCUCAGCUGGUAGAGCGUCGGCGUGGCACGCCGAAGGAAAGUUCAGGGGUUCGGGUCCCCUCUUCUCCA
RNAcentral lists this transfer RNA (78 nucleotides) under Micromonospora sp. KC723. It matches the Rfam family "tRNA". From Rfam's summary of the family: Transfer RNA (tRNA) molecules are approximately 80 nucleotides in length. Lineage: Bacteria; Bacillati; Actinomycetota; Actinomycetes; Micromonosporales; Micromonosporaceae. The record is from Rfam by way of RNAcentral.